This is a long non-coding RNA of Melospiza melodia melodia, 315 nucleotides long. RefSeq lists it as uncharacterized. Lineage: Eukaryota; Metazoa; Chordata; Aves; Passeriformes; Passerellidae. The transcript is spliced from 3 exons. The record is from RefSeq and is a predicted model, not a curated record.
UCUGAGCUGGAAGGGUGAGAAGGAUGAGAUGCACGUGGUUUUGCUCCAGGGGAUGUCCUGAAAGUGCACUGCCUACCUGCCCCUGCUGCCGAGCACCACGCUCCACCUCCUUCUCCUGCUCAGCAGAUUUUUAGGAAUCCAGGGCUUGGACACCUGAAGCGUGUAUUCAGCAGCGCUGAAGAUCCUGAGGUGCUUCUAGAGAAAGAGCAGGAGCACACUGCCUCAUCUGAGCUGCCAUGCCAGACUCAGGGAGAGCUGUUCCCAGCCCGAGGGCAGGAAGAGCAGCUCAGGCAGCAGGUGGAAGAGCCACAGGAG